UCAAGAUCCCCUCCCUCAACUUGACCUAUCCAACGGCCCAUAUUUCCUUAUCCUACACCUAAUCCCUUACCAUUUAUAGGCGCUUCAGAUUGUUCUUCUCACAAACCACACGAACAAAAUGAAGCAGUUGUUGGAUUCUCGGCUCGAAGCUUUAGCAUUUAACUACCUGAGUUUGGGAUCUUCACUGUUGUUAAUAAUCUAUGGACGUGGGUCGCUGUCAUCACGGCGGCAGUUAGUUUUGGAGAAUCAAAGCUGCCGGCGCCGCCACCUCCUCUUCGACCGUUAAAAGUCACAAGCAGGGCUGGUCGACUACCGAAGUUGAAGAAAAACCGACCGUUUCAGCUCUAGCUUCCGUUACGGGGACGACGAGCGUUUCGCGGUUCGUUUGCAAUGGCGGGGUGACGAAAAGUGGGAAGCCCAGGUUGACUGUUAUUACGAAGAGGACAUCGAUGGUGAAACGACGGAUACGGAAUGGAGUGAAGGUGACGGGAACUGUACGGAAGGGAGUUGCGGCGGGGACCGGUGGGAGAGUUGGGAGAGAGUGUUGAGGUUGAGGAAAGGGGAGACGGGGUGGUACCGUUAUCAGGAUUUGACGGCGAUAAACGGAAACGUUGUUCGGUUAUGGGAUGGUUCGUGUCGAAGAGCAAGAUGGUAAUAAAAAGCUCA
Long non-coding RNA from Hibiscus syriacus, 666 nucleotides. RefSeq lists it as uncharacterized. NCBI's taxonomy places the organism in Eukaryota, Viridiplantae, Streptophyta, Magnoliopsida, Malvales, Malvaceae. The record is from RefSeq and is a predicted model, not a curated record. The transcript has 3 exons.